This 534-nucleotide ribosomal RNA is filed under the name Episomus chlorostigma. RNAcentral's name for it is "partial 16S large subunit ribosomal RNA". It matches the Rfam family "Bacterial large subunit ribosomal RNA", at positions 1819 to 2625 of the family's 2925-position model. Lineage: Eukaryota; Metazoa; Arthropoda; Insecta; Coleoptera; Curculionidae. The record is from RNAcentral.
GGCCUUUUGAGUAUAAUUUAAGGUCUGACCUGCCCAAUGAGGAUUUAAAUGGCCGCGGUAGCUUGACCGUGCAAAGGUAGCAUAAUCAUUAGUUUUUUAAUUGAAAGCUGGUAUGAAGGGUUGGAUGAGAGAAUGACUGUCUCUAUUUAAAUUUUUUAGAAUUUUAUUUUUAAGUAAAAAAGCUUAAAUUUGUUUGGAAGACGAGAAGACCCUAUAGAGUUUUAUUUAUAGGACUAUUUAAGGGUUUAGUAUUUAAUAAAAUAGAUAGUUUUAUAAAUUUGAUUGGGGUGAUUGAAAAAUUUAAUAAACUUUUUUUUUAUUAUUACAUUGAUAUGUGAGUUUAUGAUCCUUUUUAAAGAUUAGAAGAUUAAAUUACCUUAGGGAUAACAGCGUAAUUUCUUUAGAGAGAUCUAAUCGAAAAAGAAGAUUGCGACCUCGAUGUUGGAUUAAAAUUGAAUUUUGGUGUAGAAGCUGAAAGUUUGGGUCUGUUCGACCUUUAAAAUUUUACAUGAUCUGAGUUUAGACCGGCGUGAG